This 339-nucleotide unclassified non-coding RNA is filed under the name soil metagenome. Its description in RNAcentral is "partial contains 5.8S ribosomal RNA, internal transcribed spacer 2, and large subunit ribosomal RNA". The stretch from base 1 to 120 matches the Rfam family "5.8S ribosomal RNA", at positions 35 to 154 of the family's 154-position model. The record is from RNAcentral.
GAUGAAGAACGUAGCGAAAUGCGAUACGUAGAGUGAAUUGCAGAAUUCAGUGAAUCAUCGAAUCUUUGAACGCACAUUGCACCUCUCGGUAUUCCGGGAGGUAUGCCUGUUCGAGCGUCAUUUGUACCCUCAAGCUCUGCUUGGUGUUGGGUGUUUGUUCCGCCUCUGUGUGUGAACUCGCCUCAAAACAAUUGGCAGCCGGCGUACUUGUUUCGGAGCGCAGCACAUUUUGCGAUCCAGAUCAACGUACAGCGGCAUCCAAGAAGCCUUAUUUAACGCUCUUGACCUCGGAUCAGGUAGGGAUACCCGCUGAACUUAAGCAUAUCAAUAAGCGGAGGA